GCCUGGGUGGCUCAGUCGGUCAAGCGUCUGACUUGGGCUCAGGUCAUGAUCUCACUGCUCGUGGGUUCGAGCCCCGCGUCAGGCU
Transfer RNA from Felis catus (domestic cat), 85 nucleotides. It matches the Rfam family "tRNA". From Rfam's summary of the family: Transfer RNA (tRNA) molecules are approximately 80 nucleotides in length. Their secondary structure includes four short double-helical elements and three loops (D, anti-codon, and T loops). Lineage: Eukaryota; Metazoa; Chordata; Mammalia; Carnivora; Felidae. The record is from Rfam.